CAAUAGCGUAUAUUAAAGUUGUUGCAGUUAGAACGCUCGUAGUCGGACUUCGGGGCGGGCCGACCGGUCUGCCGAUGGGUAUGCACUGGUCGGCGCGUCCUUCCUUCCGGAGACCGUCCCUACUCUUAACUGAGCGGGGGCGGGAGACGGGACUUUUACUUUGAAAAAAUCAGAGUGUUUCAAGCAGGCAGCUCGCUCUUGCAUGGAUUAGCAUGGGAUAAUGAAAUAGGACUUUGGUGCUAUUUUGUUGGUUUCGAACACCGAAGUAAUGAUGAGAAGGGACAGUCAGGGGCACUCGUAUUCCGCCGAGAGAGGUGAAAUUCUCAGACCAGCGGAAGACGAACCACUGCGAAAGCAUUUGCCAGGGAUGUUUUCACUGA
RNAcentral lists this ribosomal RNA (380 nucleotides) under uncultured eukaryote. Its description in RNAcentral is "partial 18S ribosomal RNA". It matches the Rfam family "Eukaryotic small subunit ribosomal RNA", at positions 592 to 976 of the family's 1831-position model. The record is from RNAcentral.